This is a long non-coding RNA of Capsicum annuum, 561 nucleotides long. RefSeq lists it as uncharacterized. The record is from RefSeq and is a predicted model, not a curated record. NCBI's taxonomy places the organism in Eukaryota, Viridiplantae, Streptophyta, Magnoliopsida, Solanales, Solanaceae. The transcript has 3 exons.
CUCAAUUCUCUCUUCCUCCAUUGAUAUAGCCAUUGGCUAUUUCUGAACAAAAAAAAUAGUCUCUCUUCUCAAACUUUUCACAACAAAUCAACCGUAAAAGUUGAUGACGAGGCACCAUCAAAUUAUCAUUACCACCACCACCAGCUGCCUCAAGCUUAGGUACAAUUAAUGGCUUCGGCUGAAACUGUUCAACAGGAAGCACUAGGAGAUUGAACCACCAGAAGCUGUAGACUUUAGUUACAUUACACAUGGUUAUAUCUACUAUGGAGGAGUUGCUACUGAUGGAAAUUGAUAUAUCAAACUCCCUCAAAUUUGAGUCGAGUAAUUCCACAGCAAAAAACAUUUCUCAGGAGAUCUAAUGGGGGGCUAUUCAAAAAGAUUAUGCAAUAGUGAGGAAUUGAAAUAUUUGGACUACCUAUGUGAGUCCAGUCCACUGAAAUGUAGUUGUGUGGAACUCAUAUCUUUUAUACAUUUAUUGCUACUCCUAUACUUCUUUGGAGGCUUACCCUCCAAUCAUUUGUACAUCCUUGAAGUCUGUAUAAAUUAUGAAUUAUCUUUUCA